UACAGGGGGGGCAAGCGUUGUUCGGAAUUACUGGGCGUAAAGGGCGAGUAGGCGGCCAACUAAGUCCGACGUGAAAUCCCCAGGCUUAACCUGGGAACUGCGUCGGAUACUGGAUGGCUUGAAUUCGGGAGAGGGAUGCGGAAUUCCAGGUGUAGCGGUGAAAUGCGUAGAUAUCUGGAGGAACACCGGUGGCGAAGGCGGCAUCCUGGACCGACAUUGACGCUGAUCCGCGAAAAGCCAGGGGGAGCAAACGGGGAUUAGAAACCCCCU
RNAcentral lists this ribosomal RNA (270 nucleotides) under uncultured bacterium. RNAcentral's name for it is "partial 16S ribosomal RNA". It matches the Rfam family "Bacterial small subunit ribosomal RNA", at positions 524 to 790 of the family's 1533-position model. The record is from RNAcentral.